UAUACGAAGGACUGGAGCUGUAAUUGUCUAACUAAUAUACAGGACUCAGGAACGCAAAAAGAAAAUAAUGGCUGAAGAAAUGAAUGCAGUCAUAGAAGAACGAGAUGCUGCUUUGGCUAAGUAAAACACUGAAACUAAGAGAGAAGAUGUCAACAAACGAAGAGGGGAUUUUUAUGUUUGGUUUGUGGCAAUUUUGAUUUGUUCACUAUUUCUAUCGCAAUGUGCUCUUCAAUGAUAUUUGUGAAAUUUAUCUUUUUAACAAUGUGCAGUGUCUGUGCAGAAUAACUUCAGCCAAAGCCCACUAAAAUCAAUGGGUUCUGGAAUAGUUCUACAUAGAAUUGCAUAGCUUUGCUUUAAGUUAUGGAUUCCUCCUCCAUUUGUUUAACUGUAUUGCUCCUGGCACCUACCUUAUACCAAUGUCACUGCAGCACAUGGAUCAAGUUUCAAGUAGAUAGUGUGGGCCAUAAAAUGCCACUUUUAUCUUAAGUGUAGUGCACUACAAAUAUUUGAUUCCCAGCAGUACUAGUCUACUUGAUACACAUUCUGCUUCAGAAUGAGAUGCACUUUAUUGACUUCUCAGUUGUACAAAGCCAAACUAAUGUUAUGUACCUAGCACUGGGUCUCUCAAAAUCUAGAAAUUAGAUAAAUAUAUAAAUAUAAACUCUGGUUUCCAUUUCUGCUUUAAUUGCUCUUCAGAGGCAUUUACCAAGUGAGGAUAAUUUUAGCUACCUCAUAGGUGACCUGAAAAAAAUGAAGGGGGAUUUAUCCCUUGACUGAGGAAAAAGAUGAAGCCCCUGUGUUUGAAUGGAAUGCUGUUGAUUGUGCUGAUUCUUCUGUGGUGAAUUGGUUUGAACUGGCUGUUCUGCUUUGAGGACUUCUGUCCUUAAUGGCCAAGAACACUUGCUGGCCUUGGCAUUUGUUCCUCCAAGAACAGAAUCUGCAAAAUAAGACACCCGUUUGCCUGCAGUGUGAGAGAAAUAAGCUUUUCACAAGGAUAGAUGAUGAUAAAUGAACCAAAAAUUGAGAACAGAUUCACCCUCAUGUAGACUUACACAGUGAAGGCCCAUUGAAACCAGUGGACUUAGAGUAAAGUAACUCUGCAUAGGUUUGUGCUGAUUGUGUGUGUGUUUUAGUGCAAAUUGGUGGUGCUUGCCUGUGGAAGCAUAAACAGUGCCUGUAGAAGCAUAAACGGUUUAGUGGUUUGGAGGAAGCUCAUAGAUAUCUUGCCUUCAAAUAAAAGCCCAUGUUUAAAUAUAAUUCCCUUUGGUUGCCUUCCUAAGAUUGCUGCAUGACGUCUGACAAGUUAGCAUAGGUUACUUACAAUCAUGUUCCAUUUGGAUACUGAUUCUUAAGCCCUGUUACCUGCCAGCAAAAGGGCCCCAGAAUCACAUGAUGUUGGUUGAGGCUGUCAUAGGGUUGUGCUGGCAUCUAUAAUUCCAGUAGUUUCUUGAAGUUCAUGGGAAAUGUGUAGUAACAGAGGCUGUCAGACUGUCCCUUGGAUAGACCACGAUCUCAACCAUGGAUCCUCUGGAAUCAAAGUGCCUGAUCAUAGAAUAUGACUGUUAGGAAGAAAAUAAAACCUUUACAAGCCACACAACUGUAAUUAUUUGGUUUGCACAGACAGUAAUUAAUAUUCUUUGAAAGUAAUUGUAUAAUAAUUGUUUGUCAUCUUUGAAUAUGCAGCUAUAGGUUAGCAGUCUGUAUUUUAGAAAGUCUAUAAAGUGUGGUUGGCAUUCUUUUGUUGUUACAUUUUAAUUAUGCCAUAAUAAGCAUGCACUUGUGCACUUGCAUAUCUUAAAUCCUAAUUUUAUUUGAAAUUAGUUCUAUUGAAAUACUUUAAAAGUGGGUGAGUUCUCAGAACAGAGAGUCAGGAAGGUUCUAGCAGAGCCCCAGGCAGUUAUAUAUGCAUUUGUUAUAUGAAAUUUUAAACAUAACUGGUGUCUUUACAGAAUGAUGGGCAUUAUUAUCACUGGGAUGAAUGGUACUUGUGUUUGCAAUCUGAGAUCAUUCAGUAGAUUGCUCAGCAAAUAUGCAAACUACUUUUUGUACGUGCAAAAACAAAUAAAAUGGUAUUUAAACU
Long non-coding RNA from Sphaerodactylus townsendi, 2080 nucleotides. RefSeq lists it as uncharacterized. NCBI's taxonomy places the organism in Eukaryota, Metazoa, Chordata, Lepidosauria, Squamata, Sphaerodactylidae. The transcript has 2 exons. The record is from RefSeq and is a predicted model, not a curated record.